Molecule: ribosomal RNA, 548 nt
Filed under: Henosepilachna sp. NK-10
Lineage: Eukaryota; Metazoa; Arthropoda; Insecta; Coleoptera; Coccinellidae
Description: partial 16S ribosomal RNA
Source: RNAcentral
AUAUUUGAUCCUUUCGUACUAAAAUAUUUUUUGUAUUUAAGAUAGAAACCAACCUGGCUCACACCGGUUUAAACUCAGAUCAUGUAAAAUUUUAAAGGUCGAACAGACCUAAUAUUUUAGCUUCUACACCAAAAAUAAAUUUUAAUCCAACAUCGAGGUCGCAAACCUUUUUUUCAAUAAGAACUAUUAAAAAGAUUACGCUGUUAUCCCUAAGGUAAUUUAAUCUUAUAAUCAUUUUUUUGGAUCAAUAAUUCAAUUAUUAUUGUAAUUAUAAAAAAAAAGUUAAUUUAAUUUUUCUGUCACCCCAACAAAACUUAAAUUAAAUUAAAAAAUAAAAUUUCUAAAAUUUUUAACAUAAUUUUUAGUUAAACUCUAUAGGGUCUUCUCGUCUUUAAAUUUAAUUUAAGCUUUUUAACUUAAAAAUAAAAUUCUAUUAAUAAAAUUGAAACAGUAAUUUUCUCAUCAAACCAUUCAUACAAGCUUUCAAUUAAAAAACUAAUGAUUAUGCUACCUUUGCACAGUCAAAAUACUGCGGCCCUUCAAAUCUC